GACGUAGGGGGCCAGCGUUGUUCGGAAUUACUGGGUGUAAAGGGCGCGUAGGCGGUUUUUUAAGUGAGGCGUGAAAGCCCUGGGCUUAACCCAGGAGGUGCGUUUCAUACUGGAAAGCUUGAGUGCGAGAGAGGAAAGUGGAAUUCCUAGUGUAGAGGUGAAAUUCGUAGAUAUUAGGAAGAACACCAGAGGCGAAGGCGGCUUUCUGGCUCGCAACUGACGCUGAGGCGCGAAAGCGUGGGGAGCAAACAGG
Molecule: ribosomal RNA, 253 nt
Filed under: uncultured bacterium
Lineage: Bacteria
Description: partial 16S ribosomal RNA
Rfam family: Bacterial small subunit ribosomal RNA
Source: RNAcentral